AUUCUCUUAGUAACGGCGAGUGAACAGAGAUUAGCCCAGCACCGAAGCCUACUGCCUUUUGGCGGAAGGGCAAUGUGGUGUUCAGACUGGUAUCUGUGGUGACAGGGCGGCUCGAAGUCCAUCUUUGAAUGUGGCUUGAAUUGUUGCCUGAGCGGGUGGAAGUCCCGUUCCGGGUUGCCCAAUAUGGAAUGUUGUCACCUCUGGAUAUGCUAGUCGUGGAGUCGGAUUGCUUGAGAAUGCAGUCCUAAGUGGGUGGUAAACUCCAUCCAAGGCUAAAUACCUGCACGAGUCCGAUAGCGAACAAGUACCGUGAGGGAAAGUUGAAAAGUACUCUGAAGAGAGAGUAAAUAGUACGUGAAGCCACUCGUAUGGAAGCAGAUGGAGUCCAGCUGCGAGCUGCUUGGAUUAAGCCGCUGUCCCAAUGUAUGUUCUCGCCUCGCGUGGUUGGCUUGUAAAGAGCUAGGCGGUCUCGGCCGCUUAAUAUCUUGACAGGUUAGUUGGUAUUUGCCGCGCGAGUGUAAAGCGAGUGGACUGCGGUGUAUUUCCUUGCGGCUAGCAUCACAAUCGAUGCUGCUGCCAGUAUGCGGCUGUCUAACUUAGUGUGGCUGACCUUGAAGUUGGUCGUGCUGAGGAUGGCAGUUUGCCGUAAUCGCGGUCUCGGCCGUGUGUUAUGGUGCAAGAAGGCUUCGGCCGGCUGAUUGCCGCGUUGAGCAUUCAACUGUGCAGUGUGUCGGGUGUAGCGCAGGUCGUGUGGGCUGUGCCUCGGGUGUGGUCAUUGGGAUUUGUCGUGUUAAA
Molecule: ribosomal RNA, 795 nt
Filed under: Anoplodiscus spari
Lineage: Eukaryota; Metazoa; Platyhelminthes; Monogenea; Gyrodactylidea; Anoplodiscidae
Description: LSU rRNA
Rfam family: Eukaryotic large subunit ribosomal RNA
Source: RNAcentral